Molecule: long non-coding RNA, 376 nt
Filed under: Pan paniscus (pygmy chimpanzee)
Lineage: Eukaryota; Metazoa; Chordata; Mammalia; Primates; Hominidae
Description: lncRNA (ENSPPAG00000044568.1)
Source: RNAcentral
CUAAGAGGUGGAAGGAAGCAGCCCAGCAGUGCCCCUCAGAGUCAAAGACAGCGUGGCUCGCUCUCACAAGCCCUUCAGCUUGCUGGUGGUCCUGAAAGGAGGAGGUGCUUUGCUUCUCUUUUUCACAGAUGUCAAUUACGGAUCAACUUCUGAGUCACAUAGAAGAGCACCAUCAAUUGGCCAUUUCUCACCUGAUCACUGAGGAUAUAAAGUGCUUUUCCAGACUCCAGGACUCAGUUCAUUGCUAGUAUCAGGACGCCUCUCAUGUAUGGGAAGCCAGAAACAUCCCAGGAGCCUCACUGACUGCUUGGGCACAGCCCUCUGAGCAGACCUAUGAAGAAACAGAAGGAUUUGUGCCUUUUAGGUAUCUCUGGUC